This 301-nucleotide ribosomal RNA is filed under the name uncultured bacterium. RNAcentral's name for it is "partial 16S ribosomal RNA". It matches the Rfam family "Bacterial small subunit ribosomal RNA", at positions 509 to 807 of the family's 1533-position model. The record is from RNAcentral.
CAGUAGCCGCGGUAAUACGUAGGGUGCGAGCGUUAAUCGGAACUACUGGGCGUAAAGCGUGCGCAGGCGGUUGUGUAAGACAGGUGUGAAAUCCCCGGACUUAACCUGGGAAUGGCAGUGGAUACUGGCUCGCUAGAGUGUGUCAGAGGAUGGUGGAAUUCCCGGUGUAGCGGUGAAAUGCGUAGAGAUCGGGAGGAACAUCAGUGGCGAAGGCGGCCAUCUGGGACAACACUGACGCUGAGGCACGAAAGCGUGGGGAGCAAACAGGAUUAGAUACCCCCGUAGUCCCUGUCUCUUAUAC